This 523-nucleotide small RNA is filed under the name Trichopezizella otanii. RNAcentral describes it as "eukaryotic LSU rRNA". The stretch from base 200 to 353 matches the Rfam family "5.8S ribosomal RNA". The record is from RNAcentral. Lineage: Eukaryota; Fungi; Ascomycota; Leotiomycetes; Helotiales; Tricladiaceae.
ACAAGGUUUCCGUAGGUGAACCUGCGGAAGGAUCAUUACAGAGUUCAUGCCCUCACGGGUAGAUCUCCCACCCUUGUGUAUAUAUUACAGUUGCUUUAGCGGGCCACAGGCUUGCCUGUACCGGCUCCGGCCGGGCGUGCCCGCUAGAGGACCCCAAACUCUGAAUGUUAGUGUCGUCUGAGUACUAUAAAAUAGUUAAAACUUUCAACAACGGAUCUCUUGGUUCUGGCAUCGAUGAAGAACGCAGCGAAAUGCGAUAAGUAAUGUGAAUUGCAGAAUUCAGUGAAUCAUCGAAUCUUUGAACGCACAUUGCGCCCCCUGGUAUUCCGGGGGGCAUGCCUGUUCGAGCGUCAUUAUAACCACAUCUAGCCUGGCUAGGUCUUGGGCUUCGCCUCCGGGCGGGCCUUAAAAGCAGUGGCGGUGCCGUCAGGCUCUAAGCGUAGUAAUUCUCUCGCUAUAGGCCCUGGCGGAUGCUGGCCAGCAACCCCAAAUUUUUCAGGUUGACCUCGGAUCAGGUAGGGAU